Gopherus flavomarginatus (Mexican gopher tortoise) is the source of this 2655-nucleotide long non-coding RNA. RefSeq lists it as uncharacterized. The transcript is spliced from 6 exons. The record is from RefSeq and is a predicted model, not a curated record. NCBI's taxonomy places the organism in Eukaryota, Metazoa, Chordata, Testudines, Testudinidae.
CUUAAUAGAAAUGAACUCUAAUUUUCUUGAGAAAUUCUCUCACAUCUUGAUGACAUCUACCAAGUCAGUCUCUCCACUCAGGCUCUCGCCAGUGCUUUUGGAAUGUGAGAAGCACACAGAUCACCAUAGUAUCUGACUCUCUCUGAGUUAUGGGAGAAUGUUGUCUCUUCAGAUCCACACUUGAGGAGUCUUGAAAUUGGGCUUGCAGGUGUAAGAAACUUUCACAGUAGUGACUUUUAGAAGGUCUGACCUUGGAUGGAGUGUUUUCAAAAAGGAUAUAAAGAAGGAUGUUCCUCAGCUCCUUUCCACUGCUGUCUUCCAACCAACGAUAUUCUGAAGAAAACAGAAGGGUCAGUGUGAAUCUGCAGAGGCAAUAGAUUUGAACAAACAGUAAGGAAAAAACACAAAAUCAGCUUUAAGAAUCUAAAAAUCAAUGAGGUUUUGGAGGAAGAUAUCCUGGUACAAGUACAACUACACAGUCACCAGUGAAUUUUAAUACUGGAAUUCUGAGGACUGAUAUUGUGGACCAGAUUCUCGUCUUGCCUACAGCAGGUUUCACUGGUGGAUGUAAUUUCAUUAUUUCAAGGGCAUUACACUGAUUAAAUCAAGACUAAGUGCAAGGAGGAUUGGGCCCUUCACAUUUAAUAAAGAACAUUUUAUAUUAAACGUGUUUCUCUUCUAUAUGAAACUCUUCCAUAAGAAGGAAGCAGAAGAAACAAUAUUAGAAAUGUCAAAUCUCAUCGUCCUGGGUAUAGCUGGAGGAACUCCUGCAGAUCCUAGUGUGUGGUAAGAGUGGUAAUCGAAUUCGUGAAAGUGCUAGAAGUGCUAUGACAUUGUCAUUAGUGAAGAUAACAUAACAGAGAAGCAGUAUAAUGGAGAAGAUGGAAUGUUUGCUGGCUGACUGGAUUGAUGACCUCCAUAAAAAAAAAACACCUGUGGGUUUAAGCUUGAUUCAGGAGAAGGCCAAAAGCUUAUAUAAUGAUUUAAAGGCAAGAUAGGGAGAGCUCAACAGCAGAAAAGGAGACCUUCAAUGCUAGUCAUGGGUGGUUCCACAGAUUUCAGAAGCGUGCCAGUCUACAUAAUAUAAAACUCACAGGAGAAGUGGCUCGUGUGAAUGAAGAAGCAGCUGAAACGUUUCCUACGCAGCUAAACACAAUUGUUUUGGAAGGUGGCUACUCUCCCGAAUAAGUUUAACAUCGAUGAGAUGGGCCUUUACUGGAAGAAGAUGCCAGUGAAGACUUAUAUUUCUCAUGAUGAGAAGACUGCUCUUCAAAGCCUCAAAAGACCACUUAACCCUUCUACUUGGGGGAAAUGCAGAAGGCGAUUGCAAGUUGAAGCCCUUUUUUGUUUACCACAGUGAAAACCCAAGAGCAAUGAGAUGCAAUAUCAAGUCUUGUCUCCUUGUAAUUCGAAAGUUGAACAGAAAGGCCUGGAUAACAUGCAGUGUUUUCCAUAAGUGGUUUGUAGACCAUGCUGUUCCUGAAUUUAAGGCUUACUGUCAGAAGGAAAAUUUGGCCUUUAAGAUUCUCCUUCUGUUGGAUAACGCAAGUGCCCAUGAACUAGACUACAGAGCCCUCUGCCUGAAUAUAAAGGUCCUAUUUUUGCCUUCCAAAACCACAUCAUUGCUGCAGCCUGUGGACCAGGGUAUAAUGGCCACAUUCAAGGCUUGUUACUUACGGAGGACAUUCUUCAUGCUGAUUAAGGAAAUGGCAGGUGAAGGAAAGCCCAAUGUAAAGGAGUUUUGGAAGUCCAACAACAUCUUGAAAGCCAUGGAAAACAUUGACGCAUCGUGGGAAGAGGUCAUUUCGCAAUGUAUGAACUGCAAGUCUCUAGGGCUAUCAAUGAUACAGUGGCUUGCCACAGGGAGAUCUAUCAUUCAAAGAUUCAUGCAGGAGAGCAGAUGUCAAUAAAAUCCUUUUUUAAGACUUCUGCAACCAAAAGCCAGCUACGGAAAAGCCAACCCAAGAAAACCCAGCUGCCACCCCUACCUAAGUUUAGCAUAACUGACACUGUUUUAUAUUAUAUUACUGUUCUGUAUUACUGUAUUAAAAUUUUUUGUGUUUGAACAGUGUUAGUAGGGUUCUAUAUCAUUUUAUUCAAUGUUUUAUCUGUAAAAUGUGUACUGUAUAACUUGUCUUUGUAAAAAGGUACACUGUUUAGGUGAAAAGAGCAUUGUCAUAGGCGAGUGUGAUGAAAUUGUGAAUGCAUCUCCCUCCCCACUUCCAUUAUUUCUUAUGGGGAAAAAUUCCUCAGUAUCAGUUGUUUCGGUAUCCAUUGCCCUUUUCAAAAAUGCAACCCCAGUGUAUAUAGGGGACCCCUUGUACAGCACCCAGCACUCUGAUGGUAUUUAUUAAAUAUUCAGUAUCAUUAAAUCUUUGUCAUAGUGACCAGAAAGGCCCCAAUCAAAUUUAAGCUCAAGCAUCCUGCUGCAACAAACUUACACAAAAGACAUUUGGAUCAAAUUUUGGACUUCUCCCAUCCUGCAGUGAACCUUGGACCUGAGCUUUGAUUCCUAAGAAUGCAGACAGUGCACUUCCAGUGGAACAGGACAUCUUCUUUUCAUGUAGCCUUUGGCAAUAUGUACAGGUAUAAUUAUAGACACAUAAGCUACUCUGUCUGUUCUAGCUGCCAAGAGAGUUGGUGGUGAAGUUUGAA